This 635-nucleotide long non-coding RNA is filed under the name Pan troglodytes (chimpanzee). RNAcentral describes it as "long non-coding RNA NONPTRT001444". The record is from RNAcentral. Lineage: Eukaryota; Metazoa; Chordata; Mammalia; Primates; Hominidae.
AUCCUACUGACCACUAAGCCCCGCUCCAGAGCCUCCCAGGGAAUCCAUCCAAGCUCCUGGCCAAUCCUUUGCCUCCCCUGGCCAUAUCCUAGGUAACCAACAGACAGCCACGGAAACGGAGCAUACACAGUGGAAGGAAACCAGAACAAAUAACCUCUGGCAUUUCCACUCAUUUCAAGACAGUACAUCUGAAUUGUUAAUAAACAGAGAACAGAACUGUUGGAAGGAGCAUAGCAGAUUGGAGGGUCUAGCUGGAGGGGCUAGGGUGGGGAUUUGGGACAGAGGGGGAUAUAAUGGGAACAUUUGAAAGGUUGUUUAUUGCCAGUACAUGGGGUCAGCUGCAGAGCCCCUUGGCCAUCAGAAGGCUGUCUCUUGCAGGCUUUGCCUUCAGGCAGGGGACAAAGAAGAUGUGAAAACUGAAAAAGAGAAAUAGCUGGCAGGGAGGAGAGUGUGCAGAAAAAGGCAAUGCUUCCUCAACUGGCUUUUACUGGGUCUGUUUUGGAAUCCCAUCUCUGUGGCAAGGAAGGACAUGUGCAAUUUGCAGACAAGGUCACCUUUGCUACCAUGAUCUCGACCACUGCACUUACUCCUGUCUUGCCCAGGGGACUUCCAGGAGAGGAGGGGGAGCGUCAGAA